CCUACGGGAGGCAGCAGUGAGGAAUAUUGGUCAAUGGACGAGAGUCUGAACCAGCCAAGUAGCGUGAAGGAUGACUGCCCUAUGGGUUGUAAACUUCUUUUAUAUGGGAAUAAAAUGUUCCACGUGUGGGAUUUUGUAUGUACCAUAUGAAUAAGGAUCGGCUAACUCCGUGCCAGCAGCCGCGGUAAUACGGAGGAUCCGAGCGUUAUCCGGAUUUAUUGGGUUUAAAGGGAGCUUAGGGGGAUUGUUAAUUCAGUUGUGAAAGUUUGCGGCGCAACAGUAAAAUUGCAGUUGAAACUGGUAGUCUUGAGUACAGUAGAGGUGGGCGGAAUUCGUGGUGUAGCGGUGAAAUGCUUAGAUAUCACGAAGAACUCCGAUUGCGAAGGCAGUUCACUGGACUGCAACUGACACUGAGGCUCGAAAGUGUGGGGAUCAAACAGGAUUAGAUACCCUUGUAGUC
Molecule: ribosomal RNA, 460 nt
Filed under: uncultured bacterium
Lineage: Bacteria
Description: partial 16S ribosomal RNA
Rfam family: Bacterial small subunit ribosomal RNA
Source: RNAcentral